AUACGGAGGUUGCAAGCGUUACUCGGAAUCACUGGGCGUAAAGCGCGCGCGGGCGGCUAUUUAAGUUGGAUGUGAAAGCCUACGGCUCAACCGUAGAACUGCAUCCAAAACUAUUUAGCUAGAGUGUGGGAGAGGAAGAUGGAAUUAGUUGUGUAGGGGUAAAAUCCGUAGAGAUAACUAGGAAUCCCAAAAGCGAAGGCAAUCUUCUGGAACACUACUGACGCUGAGGCGCGAAAGCGUGGGGAGCAAACAGGAUUAGAAACCCUAGUCCUCC
RNAcentral lists this ribosomal RNA (274 nucleotides) under uncultured bacterium. RNAcentral's name for it is "partial 16S ribosomal RNA". It matches the Rfam family "Bacterial small subunit ribosomal RNA", at positions 523 to 796 of the family's 1533-position model. The record is from RNAcentral.